This 350-nucleotide ribosomal RNA is filed under the name uncultured Aliivibrio sp. RNAcentral describes it as "bacterial SSU rRNA". It matches the Rfam family "Bacterial small subunit ribosomal RNA", at positions 344 to 686 of the family's 1533-position model. The record is from RNAcentral. Lineage: Bacteria; Pseudomonadati; Pseudomonadota; Gammaproteobacteria; Vibrionales; Vibrionaceae.
GGUGGCAGCAGUGGGGAAUAUUGCACAAUGGGGGAAAGCCUGAUGCAGCCAUGCCGCGUGUAUGAAGAAGGCCUUCGGGUUGUAAAGUACUUUCAGUUGUGAGGAAGGCAGUUUAGUUAAUAGCUUAGCAUUUUGACGUUAGCCACAGAAGAAGCACCGGCUAACUCCGUGCCAGCAGCCGCGGUAAUACGGAGGGUGCGAGCGUUAAUCGGAAUUACUGGGCGUAAAGCGCAUGCAGGCGGUUUGUUAAGUCAGAUGUGAAAGCCCGGGGCUCAACCUCGGAACCGCAUUUGAAACUGGCGGACUAGAGUCCUGUAGAGGGGGGUAGAAUUUCAGGUGUAGCGGUGAAA